Molecule: ribosomal RNA, 253 nt
Filed under: uncultured bacterium
Lineage: Bacteria
Description: partial 16S ribosomal RNA
Rfam family: Bacterial small subunit ribosomal RNA
Source: RNAcentral
UACGGAGGAUCCGAGCGUUAUCCGGAUUUAUUGGGUUUAAAGGGAGCGUAGGUGGAUUGUUAAGUCAGUUGUGAAAGUUUGCGGCUCAACCGUAAAAUCGCAGUUGAAACUGGCAGUCUUGAGUACAGUAGAGGUGGGCGGAAUUCGUGGUGUAGCGGUGAAAUGCUUAGAUAUCACGAAGAACUCCGAUUGCGAGGGCAGCUCACUGGACUGCAACUGACACUGAGGCUCGAAAGUGUGGGUAUCAAACAGG